This 253-nucleotide ribosomal RNA is filed under the name uncultured bacterium. RNAcentral's name for it is "partial 16S ribosomal RNA". It matches the Rfam family "Bacterial small subunit ribosomal RNA", at positions 524 to 776 of the family's 1533-position model. The record is from RNAcentral.
UACGAAAGGUGCUAGCGUUGUUCGGAAUUACUGGGCGUAAAGCGCACGUAGGCGGCCUUGUAAGAUGGGGGUGAAAUCCCCGGGCUCAACCCGGGAACUGCCUUCAUGACUGCAAAGCUAGAGGAUGAGAGAGGUUAGCGGAAUUCCGAGUGUAGAGGUGAAAUUCGUAGAUAUUAGGAAGAACACCAGUGGCGAAGGCGGCUAACUGGCGCGGUUCUGACGCUGAGGCGCGAAAGCGUGGGGAGCAAACAGG